UCUGGGAAGUAGCACCCUGCAAUACAAUUCGCUUUAAAUAGCGGCUGUUCGCAUGUCGUUCUCAGAUUUCUGUUGUGGCGAUCAUGAGGUGCAGCAAGAUUUUCAUCGCCGGAUUCGUCCUCCUGGCGGGUGCGUCGAUGCUCCUCGCCUGUGAACCGGGUGUUACUGCUGAAUGCUGCGGGGAACAUUCGUAUGCAUGCUGCAAAAAGGUCACCAUGUUCAUUUUUUGGCAUUAUACGGUCUGCGGCAGUGUCAGGUACUUGCCUGAUCAAAAGGCAAUAGUGAUCACCGCUUCUAUUGAUGGCGUAGAAAAGCUGAAUUUCACCAAACCUGUUUCCAAGUUUCGUAAAGAAUGGCGUUGCGAAUACCUAGCUGAAGACCAUUUCGACUUGUGCUAUAAUCCGUACGACUUGCUACAGUGGAGCCCAACGUCACUGCACUUUUGCAGCGAAUUAUGGAUCAGGCAUUACGGAAUCACACUCUAUAAAAUUGGAAAUGUGUGUUUCUUCCUGGGCGAAGAAGGAGACAGGAAUGUCUGCCCACAAGAUCAAAACACCACUUCUACUUCCUUGCGUUUAAAUUAAU
Molecule: long non-coding RNA, 585 nt
Organism: Cloeon dipterum
Lineage: Eukaryota; Metazoa; Arthropoda; Insecta; Ephemeroptera; Baetidae
Exons: 4
Source: RefSeq, a predicted model, not a curated record